Molecule: ribosomal RNA, 413 nt
Filed under: uncultured bacterium
Lineage: Bacteria
Description: bacterial SSU rRNA
Rfam family: Bacterial small subunit ribosomal RNA
Source: RNAcentral
AAUCCUGGUGGCGAGUGCGAACGGGUGAGUAAUAUAUCGGAACGUGCCCAGUCGUGGGGGAUAACGCAGCGAAAGCUGUGCUAAUACCGCAUACGAUCUACGGAUGAAAGCGGGGGAUCGCAAGACCUCGCGCGAUUGGAGCGGCCGAUAUCAGAUUAGCUAGUUGGUGAGGUAAAGGCUCACCAAGGCGACGAUCUGUAGCUGGUCUGAGAGGUCGUCCAAGCCACACUGGAACUGAGGCUCGGUCCAGACUCCUACGGGAGGCAGCAGUGGGGAAUUUUGGACAAUGGGCGCAAGCCUGAUCCAGCAAUGCCGCGUGCAGGAUGAAGGCCUUCGGGUUGUAAACUGCUUUUGUACGGAGCGAAAAGGACUCACUCUAAUACAGGGGGCUCACGACGGGACCGUAAGAAUGU